ACAUGCAAGUCGAACGGCAGCGCGGGGCAACCUGGCGGCGAGUGGCGAACGGGUGAGUAAUAUAUCGGAACGUACCCUGGAGUGGGGGAUAACGUAGCGAAAGUUACGCUAAUACCGCAUACGAUCUAAGGAUGAAAGUGGGGGAUCGCAAGACCUCAUGCUCCUGGAGCGGCCGAUAUCUGAUUAGCUAGUUGGUGGGGUAAAGGCCUACCAAGGCAUCGAUCAGUAGCUGGUCUGAGAGGACGACCAGCCACACUGGAACUGAGACACGGUCCAGACUCCUACGGGAGGCAGCAGUGGGGAAUUUUGGACAAUGGGCGCAAGCCUGAUCCAGCAAUGCCGCGUGAGUGAAGAAGGCCUUCGGGUUGUAAAGCUCUUUUGUCAGGGAAGAAACGGGUGGAGCUAAUAUCUCUGCCUAAUGACGGUACCUGAAGAAUAAGCACCGGCUAACUACGUGCCAGCAGCCGCGGUAAUACGUAGGGUGCAAGCGUUAAUCGGAAUUACUGGGCGUAAAGCGUGCGCAGGCGGUUUUGUAAGUCUGUCGUGAAAUCCCCGGGCUCAACCUGGGAAUUGCGAUGGAGACUGCAAGGCUAGAAUCUGGCAGAGGGGGGUAGAAUUCCACGUGUAGCAGUGAAAUGCGUAGAGAUGUGGAGGAACACCGAUGGCGAAGGCAGCCCCCUGGGUCAAGAUUGACGCUCAUGCACGAAAGCGUGGGGAGCAAACAGGAUUAGAUACCCUGGUAGUCCACGCCCUAAACGAUGUCUACUAGUUGUCGGGUUUUAAUUAACUUGGUAACGCAGCUAACGCGUGAAGUAGACCGCCUGGGGAGUACGGUCGCAAGAUUAAAACUCAAAGGAAUUGACGGGGACCCGCACAAGCGGUGGAUGAUGUGGAUUAAUUCGAUGCAACGCGAAAA
RNAcentral lists this ribosomal RNA (916 nucleotides) under uncultured bacterium. Its description in RNAcentral is "bacterial SSU rRNA". It matches the Rfam family "Bacterial small subunit ribosomal RNA", at positions 53 to 967 of the family's 1533-position model. The record is from RNAcentral.